This 72-nucleotide transfer RNA is filed under the name Camelus bactrianus (Bactrian camel). It matches the Rfam family "tRNA". Rfam says of the family: Transfer RNA (tRNA) molecules are approximately 80 nucleotides in length. Their secondary structure includes four short double-helical elements and three loops (D, anti-codon, and T loops). Lineage: Eukaryota; Metazoa; Chordata; Mammalia; Artiodactyla; Camelidae. RNAcentral also lists the same sequence under 1 other name. The record is from Rfam by way of RNAcentral.
GUGGGUAUAGCUCAGUGAUAGAGUGCGCGCCUCGUAAGCAUGAGGUCCUGGGUUCCAGCUCCAGUACCUCCA